UUAAAUUGAAGAGUUUGAUCAUGGCUCAGAUUGAACGCUGGCGGCAGGCCUAACACAUGCAAGU
Molecule: ribosomal RNA, 64 nt
Filed under: Pantoea agglomerans
Lineage: Bacteria; Pseudomonadati; Pseudomonadota; Gammaproteobacteria; Enterobacterales; Erwiniaceae
Also listed under: 79 other names
Description: partial 16S ribosomal RNA
Rfam family: Bacterial small subunit ribosomal RNA
Source: RNAcentral